UUUGCAACUUUGAUUUUGUACUCUAAAUUGUUAAUUAGUCAUGAAAUGAAAUUAGAUUGUCUUCUCUCUUGAUUUUGGAUGAUUGUCCACAAAUAUUUGUACGCCGCAUGAACUUUUUCUAUGUGCAUUAAUGGCUAUUGUGAAGAAAAGUUAGUGUUGAAUUCAAGAGAGUAGAUAAACUAACAACAAAGGUUUGUUGUUUGAUGAAUAUGAAUAAAAAAGUAGGAUAAACAUUUAUUGUUGAUACAUGUUGGAAAUAUCAACAAAGGGUAAGGCCUCUGUUCCCAUCCACUUGAAAAUAAAACUCCAUAUCUUAAAGAAAACGUCGUUGACGUCUUCCACCUCCUUGAAGCAAAAUACACAAUAUUUCUCAUGAAUUCUUGUAAUGACAACUUUAUUAAAUAAAAACUCUCUAGUGGGUAGUUUUUCAAUCAACAACCUCCAACCAAACAUACUAUUUUUUGAUGGGACGUUAUUUAACCAACGACACUUAAGCGCUUUCGUUGUGUUUGUCUCGAGAUCAAUUGUGCCGGACCUGCUCUGUAGCACCGUAUAAGCUGUCUUCACCAUAAAAAUACCAGCUGCAUGUGAUUUCCAUUUUCGCUUAUCGCUGGUUUCCCUUCUCGAAAUCAAUUAUCGCUGUCUUUGUAAAUAUAUAUAUAUAUUUUUAGAAUAAGCAAAAAAAUAAGUUAAAAAAAUACUAAUGUGAAGAAAGUCAGCACGUGAGAAUCGAAAAGGGAUCUCAUUUUUCCGUAAG
RNAcentral lists this long non-coding RNA (757 nucleotides) under Trifolium pratense (red clover). RNAcentral's name for it is "long non-coding RNA (TPRA_LNC007305)". Lineage: Eukaryota; Viridiplantae; Streptophyta; Magnoliopsida; Fabales; Fabaceae. The record is from RNAcentral.